UCAUAGCCACGGCAACCAGCGAUGAAUACACUGCACCGGAAGAGAAGAUGACCCACCUGCAUUUCUACUUUCACGAGAUAUACGCCGGCGCAAACGUGACCACGAUGGUCGUCGCAGUCCCGCCGGGCACCAACUCCUCGUUCACCACCUUCGGCGCGCUCGUCGUCAUCGACGACAUGCUGAGGGAAGGCCCGGACCCGAGCUCGAAGCUCAUCGGGAGGGCGCAGGGGCUGGUGGCGCAGGCCUCCCAGGAGGGCUCGGCGCUGCUCACGGCUUUCAACUUCGUGUUCACGGAGGGGGAGUUCAACGGGAGCACGCUGGCGAUCCUGGGCAGGGCCAAGCUGAGUGAGCCGCCGGUCGAGCGCAGCAUCGUCGGAGGGUCGGGCAAGUUCCGGAUGGCCAGGGGGUACACCGAGGCUCGAGUCAUCAGUUCGAAGGACGGCUACUUCCUCAUGGAGUUCGAUGCCUAUGUCACUCAUUACUGAAUUGUUUCACGUUAAUGUUUGCGGAAAUAAGCGCUUUUGGCUAUUUGGAUGUGUUCGGAGGCUGAUGCAUGUUUUCCCUCCUUGGAUAUAUAGAGCAAGCAAUAAGAAAACCUUCGGGUUUGCUUCAAACAAUUUAGAGUCUGCAAUCUUGUUUCCAAAACAUGUUUGCUUCAGCAGCCGGUACUUUCCAGCAGUAACAUAGUAACUCCACAACUACAAUUCCUUUUACCUGUCUUCAACAUCAACACAACCGGCAAAAUAAGAAGAUGUUGCCGUGAACACCACGCUGCUUGAAGCUUUCUUUCGCGGUCAAUACGUUUACUUUGAACCGGCAGUGUCUGCCACUUUGUCUUGACUCUGAGUUCUAGAAAUCAAAGGUAUAAAUAUUAAAAUGGUAUCAUAAUAUAUAUAUAUAUAAUAUGAAAGUCAAUUAUGAUCAAAAUAUAUUGACAAACUGAUCGAGAAAUAAAAAUCGUUAUCACAAAGCGGCGGCUGGGGAAGGGAGAUGGGUGGGGACGCGGGCUGCCCGAGGCGGAGAGCGGGUAGCGGCGGUGGCCGGGAAAGGCAGCCAAGAGGGGCGAGGGCUGCUUGAGGCAGAGAGAGGGAAGAGAGAGAGAGAGGUACCGCCGGAGGGGAGGCGUUGCCGAUCACCGAUCGCCGACAGCGGAGAGUUGAGUUUCGAAUCUCGUUGAGAAAUGAGUCGGCGCUUCGCUGGGAUUGAAAUGGAAGGCGUAGGAUUCGAUGAGUUCCCGAUCGUCCACCAUCCUACUGCAUAGACCAUCUAUCCGACGCUUCUGAAUCUAAUUUGUUUCGGUCUUUGUCGUAACGAGGUGUUCUUUUAUGCACCAACAGAAGAUUGGUGCAAAAAGUCACGAGCGGCUGUUCUUUAUUUUCCUUCGAGUGCAAAAGGUCACCCGCGAGCAAUACUUCUAAUGGAAAUGGAGGAACGCCGCAUAUGCGACGACAACUGAGUGAGAAUACAACUCAAGACAUCACGCAGCGGCAUCCACCUUCAGCUCAGUUAUCACCAUCGAAAGGUCUCCGUCGCACACAGUCUGGUCUCAUCCUCCUCCAUGCGUUCCGGUAAGAACGCAAAUCAACAGAUAAUUUUCCAUUGAUUUUGAAGACGGCAGCACAUUGUUUCGUUGAAUGCACUGUACACGCCUCCUAAUGCAUCAUCGUUUGACUACUUGCAUGGAUUUGACUGAGCGAGCUAUGUACUGUAGAAAAAUCGAGGAAAAUAAGUAACUUGUUGAUGUCGAAGAGUCUUUACCGUCCAUUUGGACUUGUCAGCAGCAUCCACAUGAAUCUCACCGUCUGAUCAAUCAACAUCUUAAAAGGUGUUAUAUCAAUUUAAGUGUACUUUUCUUACCUGUCAAUCUUUUCUUGACUUGUCCACCAUAGUACAUUCGGUUGUUGGCGUCAACAAGCAUCCAUUUGAAAUAGUUCAAUUAUAUAUGUAACACUGUUUUCUAAGAGACACUAUUGAAGCUUCUCCUUCUUUACCUAAUGCCUACAAUAACCUCCACCCACCUAUCCUUUUUCCUUUCUUUUCUUAUAAUAUUUUCACAAUGGGCUAUAAUAUUUUUAAUAAUACUAGGAAAAAAAAACCAUAACAUAUGUUAUAGUAUUUUUCUGAUAUUCUUGAAAACACUGCAACUUAGUGUAAAAAAAAUCGUAAACAUAGUAUUUUUACAUAAUAGCGUAAUAAUUUUACGCUACAUUAUAUUGUUGAAAGCACUAGUAUUAUCCGAUUAUCAUCGUGUAAAAAUAUUAUAAUAUUUUCACAAUGGGCUAUAAUAUUUUUAAUAAUACUAGGAAAAAAAACCAUAACAUAUGUUAUAGUAUUUUUCUGAUAUUCUUGAAAACACUACAACUUAGUGUAAAAAUAUUGUAAACAUAGUAUUUUUCCAUAAUAGCGUAAAAAUUUUACGCUACAUUAUUAUCCGAUUAUCAUCGUGUAAAAAUAUUAUAAUUGGAUAAAUUUAUUGUGUAUUAGAUUAAAAAAAUUAGUAGGGAAUUUCGAAAAUGAGGACACUUUUAAUCAUAUUAAUUGUGGAGGGAUAUAUUUGUAAUUUUGCCAAUCCAAAAAAUGUGAUUCCCACCCUUUUUGGUUUUCUAAAGUUGUGGAUAAUUAAGGAAACGUAAUAAAUCCCUCUUAAACUCCGCUAUAAAGCCACAGCCUCUUCUCCACCCCAUUCCUCCAUCCGCUUCUUGGCUAAGUGCACCACAAGCUUCUCCAUGGCCUACUCCUCCUCUCCCUGCGUGCUUGUUCUUCUCCUUCUUCUUCCCUUCUCCCUCUCUGCCUUUGUUGCCACCGCAGAGAGCCAUGAAUACACUCCACCCCCAGAGAAGAUGACGCACCUCCACUUCUACUUCCACGAGAAAUACACCAGCCCGGAGGCGACCGCGGUCCUCGUCGCGGUCCCUCCCGGCACCAACGCCACCUUCGACACCUUCGGGGCGCUCAUCGUCAUCGACGACGUGCUGAGGGACGGCCCCGAGGAGAGCUCCAAGCUCAUCGGGAGGGCGCAGGGGUUGGCGGCGCAGGCCUCCCUGGAGGGCACGCAGAUACUGACGGCCGUCAACUUCGUGUUCACGGAGGGGGAGUACAACGGGAGCACGGUGGCGAUCCUUGGCCGGAUUGUCCCCACCGUAUCGCCGACCGAGCGGGCCAUCGUCGGAGGGUCGGGCAAGUUCCGGAUGGCGCGGGGGUACACGGUGGGCAACACCUACAGCUUCAGCGGAGGCUACUUCAUCUUGGAGCUCGAUGCUUAUAUCAUCCAUUACUGAGCUGCGUGC
Molecule: long non-coding RNA, 3287 nt
Filed under: Musa acuminata (dwarf banana)
Lineage: Eukaryota; Viridiplantae; Streptophyta; Magnoliopsida; Zingiberales; Musaceae
Description: long non-coding RNA (MACU_LNC005089)
Source: RNAcentral